GACGAACGCUGGCGGCGUGCUUAACACAUGCAAGUCGAACGGAGCGAAUGAAAGCUUGCUUUUAUAAGCUUAGUGGCAAACGGGUGAGUAACACGUAGGCAACCUGCCGACAGGAUGGGGACAACAUCCGAAAGGAAUGCUAAUACCGAAUGAAGUCAGAGAAGGGCAUCCUUUUCUGAUGAAAGAUGGCCUCUAUAUAUAAGCUAUCACCUGUCGAUGGGCCUGCGUCUGAUUAGCUGGUAGGUGAGGUAACGGCUCACCUAGGCGACGAUCAGUAGCCGGUCUGAGAGGAUGAACGGCCACAUUGGGACUGAGACACGGCCCAGACUCCUACGCUAGGCAGCAGUGGGGAAUCUUCCGCAAUGGGCGCAAGCCUGACGGAGCAACGCCGCGUGAGUGAAGAAGGUCUUCGGAUCGUAAAGCUCUGUUGAUGGGGACGAACGUGCCUAAUGCGAAUAGUAUUAGGUAAUG
RNAcentral lists this ribosomal RNA (471 nucleotides) under Selenomonas sp. oral taxon 140. Its description in RNAcentral is "bacterial SSU rRNA". It matches the Rfam family "Bacterial small subunit ribosomal RNA", at positions 28 to 471 of the family's 1533-position model. Lineage: Bacteria; Bacillati; Bacillota; Negativicutes; Selenomonadales; Selenomonadaceae. The record is from RNAcentral.